This 439-nucleotide ribosomal RNA is filed under the name uncultured bacterium. Its description in RNAcentral is "partial 16S ribosomal RNA". It matches the Rfam family "Bacterial small subunit ribosomal RNA", at positions 339 to 795 of the family's 1533-position model. The record is from RNAcentral.
CUACGGGGUGCUCCAGUGAGGAAUAUUGCACAAUGGGGGGAACCCUGAUGCAGCAACGCCGCGUGGGGGAUGACGCAUUUCGGUGUGUAAACUCCUUUUAUAUGUCAAGAAAAUGACGGUAGCAUAUGAAUAAGCACCGGCUAACUCCGUGCCAGCAGCCGCGGUAAUACGGAGGGUGCAAGCGUUACUCGGAAUCACUGGGCGUAAAGGACGCGUAGGCGGGUUGGAAAGUCAGGUGUGAAAUCCUACAGCUUAACUGUAGAACUGCACUUGAAACUUCUAAUCUAGAGUAUGGGAGGGGGAGAUGGAAUUAGUGGUGUAGGGGUAAAAUCCGUAGAUAUCACUAGGAAUACCUAAAGCGAAGGCGAUCUCCUGGAACAUUACUGACGCUAAGGCGUGAAAGCGUGGGGAGCAAACAGGAUUAGAUACCCUUGAAGUC